This 301-nucleotide ribosomal RNA is filed under the name uncultured bacterium. RNAcentral's name for it is "partial 16S ribosomal RNA". It matches the Rfam family "Bacterial small subunit ribosomal RNA", at positions 509 to 807 of the family's 1533-position model. The record is from RNAcentral.
CAGCCGCCGCGGGAAUACGAAGGGUGCAAGCGUUACUCGGAAUUACUGGGCGUAAAGCGUGUGUAGGUGGUUGUUUAAGUCUGUCGUGAAAGCCCUGGGCUCAACCUGGGAAUUGCGAUGGAUACUGGGCGACUAGAGUGCGGUAGAGGAUAGUGGAAUUUCCGGUGUAGCAGUGAAAUGCGUAGAGAUCGGAAGGAACAUCUGUGGCGAAGGCGACUAUCUGGGCCAACACUGACACUGAGGCACGAAAGCGUGGGGAGCAAACAGGAUUAGAUACCCCUGUAGUCCCUGUCUCUUAUAC